UGGUGGAGUGAUUUGUCUGGUUAAUUCCGUUAACGAACGAGACCUUAACCUGCUAACUAGUUCUGUCAACUCCCUUGGCAGCUACUUCUUAGAGGGACUAUACGAAUCAAACGCAUGGAAGUUUGAGGCAAUAACA
RNAcentral lists this ribosomal RNA (136 nucleotides) under uncultured eukaryote. RNAcentral's name for it is "partial 18S ribosomal RNA". It matches the Rfam family "Eukaryotic small subunit ribosomal RNA", at positions 1299 to 1458 of the family's 1831-position model. The record is from RNAcentral.